CCCUUAGAUGUUCUGGGCCGCACGCGCGCUACACUGACUGGUGCAACAAGUGUCGCUCCUUGGCCGAUAGGCCUGGGCAAUCUUUGAACGCCAGUCGUGAUGGGGAUAGAUUCUUGCAAUUUUUGAUCUUCAACGAGGAAUUCCUAGUAAACGCGAGUCAUCAACUCGCAUUGAUUACGUCCCUGCCCUUUGUACACACCGCCCGUCGCACCUACCGAUUGAAUGGUCCGGUGGACCCUCCGGAUCGGCCCGCGCCAACGCAAGUUGAGCAAAGGCCGAGAAGUUGGGUAAACCUUACCAUUUAGAGGAAGGUGAAGUCGUAACA
RNAcentral lists this ribosomal RNA (325 nucleotides) under uncultured eukaryote. RNAcentral describes it as "partial 18S ribosomal RNA". It matches the Rfam family "Eukaryotic small subunit ribosomal RNA", at positions 1470 to 1796 of the family's 1831-position model. The record is from RNAcentral.